RNAcentral lists this ribosomal RNA (253 nucleotides) under uncultured bacterium. Its description in RNAcentral is "partial 16S ribosomal RNA". It matches the Rfam family "Bacterial small subunit ribosomal RNA", at positions 524 to 776 of the family's 1533-position model. The record is from RNAcentral.
UACGUAGGGGGCAAGCGUUGUCCGGACUCAUUGGGCGUAAAGCGCGCGUAGGUGGCCCGGUAAGUCCGCUCUGAAAGUCAAAGGCUCAACCUUUGAAAGCGGGUGGAUACUGUCGGGCUAGAGUCCGGAAGAGGCGAGUGGAAUUCCUGGUGUAGCGGUGAAAUGCGCAGAUAUCAGGAGGAACACCGGUGGCGAAGGCGGGUCUCUGGGCCGAUACUGACGCUGAGGAGCGAAAGCGCGGGGAGCGAACAGG